GUGUCAGCCGCCGCGGUAAUACGUAGGGUGCGAGCGUUAAUCGGAAUUACUGGGCGUAAAGCGUGCGCAGGCGGUUUUGUAAGUCAGAUGUGAAAUCCCCGAGCUCAAUUUGGGAACUGCGUUUGAAACUACAAGACUAGGAUAUGUCAGAGGGGGGUAGAAUUCCACGUGUAGCAGUGAAAUGCGUAGAGAUGUGGAGGAAUACCAAUGGCGAAGGCAGCCCCCUGGGAUAAUAUUGACGCUCAUGCACGAAAGCGUGGGGAGCAAACAGGAUUAGAAACCCGCGUAGUCC
This 292-nucleotide ribosomal RNA is filed under the name uncultured Methylotenera sp. RNAcentral's name for it is "partial 16S ribosomal RNA". It matches the Rfam family "Bacterial small subunit ribosomal RNA", at positions 505 to 796 of the family's 1533-position model. The record is from RNAcentral. Lineage: Bacteria; Pseudomonadati; Pseudomonadota; Betaproteobacteria; Nitrosomonadales; Methylophilaceae.